GACGAACGCUGGCGGCGUGCUUAACACAUGCAAGUCGAACGGAAAGGCCCUGCUUGUGUGGGGUGCUCGAGUGGCGAACGGGUGAGUAACACGUGAGUAACCUGCCCUUGACUUUGGGAUAACUUCAGGAAACUGGGGCUAAUACCGGAUAGGAGCUCCUGCGGCAUGGUGGGGGUUGGAAAGUUUCGGCGGUUGGGGAUGGACUCGCGGCUUAUCAGCUUGUUGGUGGGGUAGUGGCUUACCAAGGCUUUGACGGGUAGCCGGCCUGAGAGGGUGACCGGCAACAUUGGGACUGAGAUACGGCCCAGACUCCUACGGGAGGAAGCAGUGGGGAAUAUUGCACAAUGGGCGGAAGCCUGAUGCAGCAACGCCGCGUGCGGGAUGACGGCCUUCGGGUUGUAACCCGCUUUCGCCUGUGACGAAGCGUGAGUGACGGUAAUGGGUAAAGAAGCACCGGCUAACUACGUG
This 468-nucleotide ribosomal RNA is filed under the name uncultured bacterium. RNAcentral describes it as "partial 16S ribosomal RNA". It matches the Rfam family "Bacterial small subunit ribosomal RNA", at positions 28 to 507 of the family's 1533-position model. The record is from RNAcentral.